This 372-nucleotide long non-coding RNA is filed under the name Homo sapiens (human). RNAcentral's name for it is "LNC_000107". The record is from RNAcentral. Lineage: Eukaryota; Metazoa; Chordata; Mammalia; Primates; Hominidae.
CACUCAGCAAACGCGUCAUCACGGUAAGCCAGGGAAACGUCCAUGGAGACUUCUGCAUUUUCUCUGAUUUGGUUGUUUAGCUUGAAGGCAAUGUCCAGCUGCAGGAUAAACAGCAUGAAUUGGAACCAAGGACUCAUCUCCAUGUGGGGGAGGGGAAUGUGAACAGAAAACACGAUGUCAUUGGCUUCAAUUUCCCUUGGAAUUGCCUCUUCAAUGUCUCGGAUCUUGUCACAAUGAUUGGGUCCCCAAGGCACGAACCAUUUUGUCUUGUGAUGGUUCUUACGGGCAUCCACACAUUUCACCGACAUGUAGGACACUGCCGUUGUGGGCCCUGGAGCUGAAAAGAGAAAGUUUGUCUGUUUUAGAAAAGCC